AAGGCAGCAGGAGAGGCUGGAGGAAGCAGCACGCUGCGGAUAUUGGUGGCGACCGAUUGCCACCUCGGCUACCUGGAGAAGGACGAGCUACGCCGAUCCGACUCAUUCGACACCUUCGAGGAGAUCUUCUCACUGGCAGAGAAACACAAUGUGGAUUUCCUGCUUCUCGGUGGCAAUCUGUUCCACGAGAACAAGCCGUCACGCUCGACGCUGGUGAAGACGAUCGAGAUCCUGAGGCGGCGCUGCCUCCACGACCGGCCGGUGCAGUUCCAGGUGGUCAGUGAUCAUGCAGCCAGCCUGCAGAACUUGUUUGGUCGACCGAAUUUUGAGGACCAGAACAUCAACGUCGGCUUGCCUGUGUUCACCAUCCAUGGCGACCAUGAUGAUCCUACAGGAGUGGAUAAUAUGUCAGCCAUCGAUGUCCUUGCCGCCACCGGUUUCGUGAAUUACUUUGGAAAGAUGGAUCUUGGCAGUUCUGGCGUCGGUCACAUGUCAAUUCAUCCUAUACUUAUCAAAAAGGGUGCAACUUCUGUCGCAUUAUAUGGCUUAGGGAACGUUAGGGAUGCAAGAUUGAGCAGAAUGUUUCAGACACCAGGUGCAAUAGGUUGGAUGAAACAUGAGAGUACAGAGGAUGUGUCACUGUCUGACUGGUUCAACAUUCUGGUUCUUCAUCAGAACAGGAUGAAGGGAAGUCCCGACAACGGCAUCAACGAACGUCUGUUACCAAACUUUCUGGAUUUAGUGAUAUGUGGCCAUGAGCAUGAAUGCCUUGUUGAUCCCAAGGAGGUUCCUGGAAUGGGUUUCCACAUCACGCAGCCAGGAUCUUCAAUUGCCACAUCGCUGACCAGUGCUGAAGCAAAACAAAAGCAUGUUCUUUUGUUGGAAAUAAACGGAAUGAAAUACAGGCCAACUAAUAUACCUCUGAAGACUGUUAGACCUUUUGAAUAUGCCGAGGUGGCCAAUCUUAUUGAGAAGAAUGAUACAACAGCAGGCAGUGGAUCAGAGCCCAAACUUCCACUUGUUAGGAUAAAGGUGGACUACACUGGGUUCUUAACAAUACACCCACAGCGGUUUGGUCAGAAGUAUGUUGGGAAGGUUGCCAACCCACAAGACAUUAUUGUUUUCUCAAGGUCAGCAAAAAGGCGCCAAAACAUGCAAGAUAACGCUGGCGGUUCCAGAGAACUCUACCCAAAUGAGCUUAAUCAACACACGGUCGAAGCUCUGGUUGCAGAAAUUAACCUGAAUAUGCAGGUUCUUCGGCUAGAUGACCUGGACACUGCCCUGCAUGUUUUCGUCAACAAGGAUGACAAUAUGGCAUUUCACUCUUGCCUGCAGAAGAACACCGAAGAGGCAAUAAACAUGUUGACUGCCAGCAAGGUAGACACCGACAUCGAAGAUGGAGAUGCAAUGGCAGUACAUGAUUUGGAUCAGUUCAUGCAGGCACGAGAGAAGGGAAGAAUCCAAACGGCCCCAAGCGCCCAGAGCCUCCCAACCAGCACGGCGCUCAGCGCAUUUGAGGAGCUGAAAUGCUCCCCGGAUCCGGACCAAGAUAUCCGCGACGACUCGAAUGAGCUCAUUGAAACAUCGCUGACGGGCUGCUUCUGUUCUUCCGUGCGCAAGGAUGGAGAGUGCCAUCAUGAGAAGAUGGCAAGGCCGCGGAAGCGGCCGGCCCCUUUUCCUGCUACGGCUGGGGGCUCUGCGUCUUCUCCCUCUUCCUCGGCCCGGGGGAGGAAGACGGACCUGGCUUCGUUCAGCCGUAUCCCGGCGCCUGCGGUGAAGGAGGAAUUGGACGACCGCGGGACCAAGAAAGGACGGCCUUCGCCUCAUGUG
This 1830-nucleotide ribosomal RNA is filed under the name Triticum aestivum (bread wheat). RNAcentral's name for it is "partial small subunit ribosomal RNA". Lineage: Eukaryota; Viridiplantae; Streptophyta; Magnoliopsida; Poales; Poaceae. The record is from RNAcentral.